Molecule: long non-coding RNA, 412 nt
Organism: Pan paniscus (pygmy chimpanzee)
Lineage: Eukaryota; Metazoa; Chordata; Mammalia; Primates; Hominidae
Source: Ensembl
AAGGAAGUGACCCCUGAGUGAGAGCCCUUAUCUAGAAAUGGAGCAUUCAAUCUUUAGGUCAAAAUUCCACUUGCUAUUUAGAAGGAAAGAGACCUGCAGUUAAAUUUGAAAUGAUGGACAACUUGACCCCAAAAAGACCUUGCUGUAAUUUGAAUUCCUGUUGGCUGUCUGAAAGGUGAGAUACGGUUAGAGCUAAAGAUACUUGUUUUCAGGUUUCAGGAAUGAAGCGCAUUGAUCCUGUUCCUAGAGAUCAGUCAUAGGGGUAAACAGAAGGCUCUCUGAUUUAUGACCAACCUGCUGAUAGUUCCUUGGAGAGGUCCACCAUGCUCAGAUUGAGAACCGUUUGAGGAACCGGGAAUUCAGACUUUGCAAGGGAAACUGCCCGAUUCAGUCCCCAUUUCAGAAAUGAAAG